This 331-nucleotide ribosomal RNA is filed under the name uncultured eukaryote. RNAcentral describes it as "partial 18S ribosomal RNA". It matches the Rfam family "Eukaryotic small subunit ribosomal RNA", at positions 1470 to 1796 of the family's 1831-position model. The record is from RNAcentral.
CCCUUAGAUGUUCUGGGCCGCACGCGCGCUACACUGACGAAGUCAGCGAGCAUGUCCUACGCCGACAGGUGCGGGGAAUCUUGUCAAACUUCGUCGUGAUGGGGAUUGAUUAUUGAAAUUCUUGAUCAUCAACGAGGAAUUCCUAGUAAACGCAAGUCAGCAGCUUGCGUUGAUUACGUCCCUGCCCUUUGUACACACCGCCCGUCGCUACUACCGAUUGAAUGGUUUAGUGAGAUCUUCGGAUUGGCGCCACUGCGGCUCAGCAAUGGGCUCGGUGGAUGCCGAAAAGUUGAUCAAACUUGAUCAUUUAGAGGAAGUAAAAGUCGUAACA